RNAcentral lists this ribosomal RNA (477 nucleotides) under uncultured bacterium. RNAcentral describes it as "bacterial SSU rRNA". It matches the Rfam family "Bacterial small subunit ribosomal RNA", at positions 26 to 507 of the family's 1533-position model. The record is from RNAcentral.
AGGACGAACGCUGGCGGCGUGCCUAACACAUGCAAGUCGAGCGGGGUUGAGGCGAGAGGUAACUCGAGCUUCUACCUAGCGGCGGACGGGUGAGUAACGCGUGGGCAACCUGCCUCAAGGUUUGGGAUAACAGCCCGAAAGGGCUGCUAAUACCGGAUAUGCCUAUGGCCUCGCAUGGGGCUAUGAGCAAAGGGGAAACCCGCCUUGAGAUGGGCCCGCGUCCCAUCAGCUAGUUGGUGAGGUAACAGCUCACCAAGGCGACGACGGGUAGCCGGCCUGAGAGGGUGACCGGCCACACUGGGACUGAGACACGGCCCAGACUCCUACGGGGGGCAGCAGUGGGGGAUCUUGCACAAUGGGCGAAAGCCUGAUGCAGCGACGCCGCGUGAGCGAAGAAGGCCUUCGGGCUGUAAAGCUCUGUCUGGAGGGACGAACAAAAUGACGGUACCUCCGGAGGAAGCCACGGCUAACUACGUG